AGCCAGACUCCUACGGGAGGCAGCAGUGGGGAAUAUUGCACAAUGGGGGAAACCCUGAUGCAGCGACGCCGCGUGAGCGAUGAAGUAUUUCGGUAUGUAAAGCUCUAUCAGCAGGGAAGAAAAUGACGGUACCUGACUAAGAAGCCCCGGCUAACUACGUGCCAGCAGCCGCGGUAAUACGUAGGGGGCAAGCGUUAUCCGGAUUUACUGGGUGUAAAGGGAGCGUAGACGGCUGUGCAAGCCAGAUGUGAAAGCCCGGGGCUCAACCCCGGGACUGCAUUUGGAACUGUGUAGCUGGAGUGUCGGAGAGGCAGGCGGAAUUCCUAGUGUAGCGGUGAAAUGCGUAGAUAUUAGGAGGAACACCAGUGGCGAAGGCGGCCUGCUGGACGGUGACUGACGCUGAGGCUCGAAAGCGUGGGGAGCAAACAGGAUUAGAUACCCCAGUA
RNAcentral lists this ribosomal RNA (446 nucleotides) under uncultured bacterium. Its description in RNAcentral is "bacterial SSU rRNA". It matches the Rfam family "Bacterial small subunit ribosomal RNA", at positions 329 to 792 of the family's 1533-position model. The record is from RNAcentral.